Molecule: long non-coding RNA, 428 nt
Organism: Nicotiana tabacum (common tobacco)
Lineage: Eukaryota; Viridiplantae; Streptophyta; Magnoliopsida; Solanales; Solanaceae
Source: RefSeq, a predicted model, not a curated record
AUAUGGCUGUCGCUCCCCCUUAUGUCUGAUGCUUAAGCAAGCUGCGUAUGCCUAAAUUACAAAACUAUAAUAUAAUCAUGUCUCGGAGUUUCCACGGUGAAGGGAAGUCCACUAAUAUUGUUGAUUCAAAUAUAAAUACUCUACGGCAGAGAAUAGAGCUACUAAGGAAGAAAGAGAAGUUGACCAACAUAGCAUACACACGUGAAAAUGGUUGGAAUUAUAUAUUGGAGUACGACAACAAAUGCAAGAAACCUUCCUUGGUAUUGCAGUUGGUUGAGCUCGCAGGUUUAGCAAGCAGCAACAUAGGAUUCGUUUUCCUAAGUGGUUCUUUCUGCAUCUUUCUUGUUUCCCUUAUUGUCCAUAAUAUAAAUAUCUAACAUGAAAUCGUAGGAAAUUGGAAAGAAGAAUUUGAACGAUGACUUUCUCUA